CCUACGGGAGGCAGCAGUGGGGAAUAUUGGACAAUGGGGGGAACCCUGAUCCAGCGACGCCGCGUGAGUGAAGAAGUAUUUCGGUAUGUAAAGCUCUAUCAGCAGGGAAGAAAAUGACGGUACCUGACUAAGAAGCCCCGGCUAACUACGUGCCAGCAGCCGCGGUAAUACGUAGGGGGCAAGCGUUAUCCGGAUUUACUGGGUGUAAAGGGAGCGUAGACGGUGCAGCAAGUAUGAUGUGAAAGGUCGGGGCCCAACCCCGGGACUGCAUUGGAAACUGUUUUUCUUGAGUGCUGGAGAGGCAAUCGGAAUUCCGUGUGUAGCGGUGAAAUGCGUAGAUAUACGGAGGAACACCAGUGGCGAAGGCGGAUUGCUGGACAGUAACUGACGCUGAGGCGCGAAAGCGUGGGGAGCAAACAGGAUUAGAUACCCCUGUAGUC
This 440-nucleotide ribosomal RNA is filed under the name uncultured bacterium. Its description in RNAcentral is "partial 16S ribosomal RNA". It matches the Rfam family "Bacterial small subunit ribosomal RNA", at positions 338 to 795 of the family's 1533-position model. The record is from RNAcentral.